GCCAUUUGCUUCGUGAGGGCCUGCGUGCGACAACGUGACAGCGUUCCUGAGGCAGAUCGUGCACUUCGGGCCUCGUCGCGCUGCUCUUGGUUAACCGUCAAGAUCACCGGAACAAACCACCUCGGUGACAGUCCUCUGGGAAGCCUAAUCUAUGCGCCACGAAGUGCGUCUGUUUCGAAGACGAGGAUCCACAUCAGCGCACCUGGGGCGAGACGGGCGGACUGACAGUGCUUACUCGGCCGGUGGUGGCUAUGGAAUGGCAGCGACCCACGGAAAGGUAGC
Molecule: long non-coding RNA, 282 nt
Organism: Dermacentor silvarum
Lineage: Eukaryota; Metazoa; Arthropoda; Arachnida; Ixodida; Ixodidae
Exons: 3
Source: RefSeq, a predicted model, not a curated record